CAGCCGCCGCGGUAAUACGUAGGGUGCAAGCGUUAAUCGGAAUUACUGGGCGUAAAGCGUGCGCAGGCGGUUCGUUAAGACAGAUGUGAAAUCCCCGGGCUUAACCUGGGAACUGCAUUUGUGACUGGCGAGCUAGAGUAUGGCAGAGGGGGGUAGAAUUCCACGUGUAGCAGUGAAAUGCGUAGAGAUGUGGAGGAAUACCGAUGGCGAAGGCAGCCCCCUGGGCCAAUACUGACGCUCAUGCACGAAAGCGUGGGGAGCAAACAGGAUUAGAUACCCCAGUAGUCCCUGUCUCUUAUAC
Molecule: ribosomal RNA, 301 nt
Filed under: uncultured bacterium
Lineage: Bacteria
Description: partial 16S ribosomal RNA
Rfam family: Bacterial small subunit ribosomal RNA
Source: RNAcentral